GGGGAAUAUUGCACAAUGGGGGAAACCCUGAUGCAGCCAUGCCGCGUGUGUGAAGAAGGCCUUCGGGUUGUAAAGCACUUUCAGUUGUGAGGAAAGGUUGGUAGUUAAUACCUGCCAGCUGUGACGUUAACAACAGAAGAAGCACCGGCUAACUCCGUGCCAGCAGCCGCGGUAAUACGGAGGGUGCGAGCGUUAAUCGGAAUUACUGGGCGUAAAGCGCACGCAGGCGGCUUGUUAAGCUAGAGGUGAAAGCCCCGCGCUCAACGUGGGAACUGCCUUUAGAACUGGCAGGCUAGAGUCUUGGAGAGGGGAGUGGAAUUCCAGGUGUAGCGGUGAAAUGCGUAGAUAUCUGGAGGAACAUCAGUGGCGAAGGCGGCUCCCUGGCCAAAGACUGACGCUCAUGUGCGAAAGUGUGGGUAGCGAAC
Molecule: ribosomal RNA, 425 nt
Filed under: uncultured Alteromonadaceae bacterium
Lineage: Bacteria; Pseudomonadati; Pseudomonadota; Gammaproteobacteria; Alteromonadales; Alteromonadaceae
Description: bacterial SSU rRNA
Rfam family: Bacterial small subunit ribosomal RNA
Source: RNAcentral